AGUGAACGUUGGCGGCGUGGAUUAGGCAUGCAAGUCGAGCGAUCGUAGCAAUACGGGAGCGGCAAACGGGGUAGGAAUACAUCGGAACGUACCUUUUGGUUGAGAAUAGCGUUGGGAAACUGACGGUAAUACUCAAUAAAGUCGAGAGACCAAAGGUUUACUGCCGGAAGAGCGGCCGAUGCGAUAUUAGGUAGUUGGUGGGGUAAUGGCCUACCAAGCCUGAGAUGUCUAGGGGGUGUGAGAGCAUGGCCCCACCACUGGGACUGAGAUACUGCCCAGACACCUACGGGUGGCUGCAGUCGAGGAUCUUCGUCAAUGGGCGAAAGCCUGAACGAGCGACGCCGCGUGCGGGAUGAAGGCCCCUUGGGUUGUAAAACCGCUGUCAGGGGGGAUGAAACCGUAAGGUUGACAGAGCCCCAGAGGAAGCACGGGCUAAAGUUCGUGCCAGCAGCCGCGGU
RNAcentral lists this ribosomal RNA (458 nucleotides) under uncultured bacterium. RNAcentral describes it as "bacterial SSU rRNA". It matches the Rfam family "Bacterial small subunit ribosomal RNA", at positions 29 to 521 of the family's 1533-position model. The record is from RNAcentral.